Molecule: long non-coding RNA, 1585 nt
Filed under: Pollicipes pollicipes
Lineage: Eukaryota; Metazoa; Arthropoda; Thecostraca; Pollicipedomorpha; Pollicipedidae
Description: uncharacterized LOC119094624
Source: RNAcentral
GGGCCGGUCGGCCGGCCGCCGGCGCGCUUCACCCUACUCCACGGACAGUGCGUACAGUGCACAGCCGCGUCCGCCGCGGCCGUACCGCAAGCGGGGACAUCCGACGGCCAAUACGCUGGACCGACCGUCCGGACCCGGCUCGAACAUGGAGUCCUUCCAUCCGAACGACUUCAACCAGCGUGGCUACCGGAUCCCUGAGGAGCGAAACAUCGGGGAGAACGGGCCACUUCUCGCCAAUGGCGCAUUGUGAACGCCCACACAGCUCCCAGGCUCGUCUCCCUGAGGAGAGAAACACCGGGGAGAACGGGCCGCUUCUCGCCAAUGGUGCAUUGUGAGCGGUCACACAGCUCCCAGGCGCGUCGUGGAGGGACGCCACAUCGUGGGCAUUGCGGACCGUUGAACUCUGUGGACUCCGAUGCGCAGCUUGGUGGAGUCAACGCGACUGCAGUGCUGAGCCGUGGUUUAGAGUCAGACGUCGAGUAAGCUGAGAGUACUUGUGCCACUGUUCGUGUUUGGAGGUGGCGAGUUCUAGUUGACAAUGUGAUCCGUAUGCUUCAGUGUCUCCACCUGGUUAACCAUCGAACUCUGAGCUAUGCCAUUUUGUUAUAGUAACCGCUUUCUUACUUUUAUAGCAAUAGUUUUGUGGUUCCACACCCACCCCGUGUCAUAUACGCACCACACUGAACAAAGCUAGGCAAUAGGCUUUUGGUGGCCCCCAUGUUUGAGAGAUGGAUUUUGAAGGCGUAACCCUUUUCAGUUAUCUUCCAUAGGUCCGACAUACACACUGCCUUGCACUGAUGCGCGUUUUGAUGCUAUAUACCGUGCAAUGCAGCAUCAGUGAUUUCGUUUGCGAGAUUUUUUAUCUAAUCAAUUGGUCGCGUUUAAUCACAUUACCCGAUGAAAAUUGUCUCCCCAAUACGAUUGUGACAUUCAGGUCAUGCGUGCCGCGGGUUGAGGAAGCCGUAUUUGUGACACGAAGCUGUCCCCUGUGACCUGAACCUGCGAAUGACAGACCGUGUCACCAAGUACCCUUAUCUGAAGUGUAUCAUUUGCAUGGCGAUGUUUUCGGAGCAGAACCUAUGCGCGAAGAACGCGGAGCUCACGUUUCUCCGUUAGGGAAAGUGAAUGUGCCGCUGUCGUGUGAGCCACUCUCGCGUGCACCCGCCAUAUCCCCGACGAACCGCACCGCUCCGUACUCUGUACACGCGCGUGGGAUGUGCCCAAUGCCGUUCGUGGGUUCCUCCAGGGCACCCAUCUCGCCCCUACAGCCGCGUUGUAGGUGUUCCGCCAAACUGGUGCACGUUCAGGCUGUGAUAAUGUAUACGUCGAUUGUGCAGGGCAGUGCGCCGGCGCAAUAAUUCCCUUGUGAUUGUGGACGGCUGGAUGUCGGCGUGUAAGACACUGGCGGACGUCAACCUUGCGCGUGCGAUGACGUGGGAGGGUCCGCGCGGCGGAUGCCGGAGGGGGCCAGCGCAGGGGACAUCGAGAAGCGAUGUUCUGGGGCGGUGGUCCUGCUAGUCACUUUACGAGCUCACCGCGUCGUCGCUUUGCCGUUGAGUACUGUCAAUAAACGCUCGAUUUUUAA